GGCCUGCUGGCGAAAUGGCAUCGCGUCACAUUUCGGCUCCCUAGUCACUCUGUGAAGAUUGUAGGUUCGAUCCCUACGUAGGUCG
Transfer RNA from Colletotrichum orchidophilum, 85 nucleotides. It matches the Rfam family "tRNA". From Rfam's summary of the family: Transfer RNA (tRNA) molecules are approximately 80 nucleotides in length. The record is from Rfam. NCBI's taxonomy places the organism in Eukaryota, Fungi, Ascomycota, Sordariomycetes, Glomerellales, Glomerellaceae.